RNAcentral lists this ribosomal RNA (465 nucleotides) under Vreelandella stevensii. RNAcentral's name for it is "partial 16S ribosomal RNA". It matches the Rfam family "Bacterial small subunit ribosomal RNA", at positions 338 to 795 of the family's 1533-position model. The record is from RNAcentral. Lineage: Bacteria; Pseudomonadati; Pseudomonadota; Gammaproteobacteria; Oceanospirillales; Halomonadaceae.
CCUACGGGAGGCUGCAGUGGGGAAUAUUGGACAAUGGGGGGAACCCUGAUCCAGCCAUGCCGCGUGUGUGAAGAAGGCCCUCGGGUUGUAAAGCACUUUCAGUGAGGAAGAACGCCUGGUGGUUAAUACCCAUCAGGAAAGACAUCACUCACAGAAGAAGCACCGGCUAACUCCGUGCCAGCAGCCGCGGUAAUACGGAGGGUGCGAGCGUUAAUCGGAAUUACUGGGCGUAAAGCGCGCGUAGGUGGCUGGAUAAGCCGGUUGGGAAAGCCCCGGGCUCAACCUGGGAACGGCAUCCGGAACUGUCAAGCUAGAGUGCAGGAGAGGAAGGUAGAAUUCCCGGUGUAGCGGUGAAAUGCGUAGAGAUCGGGAGGAAUACCAGUGGCGAAGGCGGCCUUCUGGACUGACACUGACACUGAGGUGCGAAAGCGUGGGUAGCAAACAGGAUUAGAUACCCUUGUAGUC